AGGGCACACACUGUUGUGGUUACUCUCCUGCCUUUCCAUAGAUAAGAGCCGUGUAUAUGUGUUCGAUGCGCAUCUCAUCAUCACAAAAGAGGCCUGUGACAUUCAAUAUAGGUGUGUUUCCUAACACAUGCGUCAGAGGCAUCUGUGGCUACAUCCGUUCCAGUGAUGGGCAUUGCGGUUUUUAAAAUUCUUUGUCCUCGGCAUCUUGGAAUAAGUCACAGGAAAGAGCCACAGCCCCAUGUGACAGUUCUGCUAUCACUCCAUCUUACAGAUGAAGAAACUGAGGCUCAGGGAAGAGAGAUAGCUGCUCACUGUCACACACUGUGGGAGAUGUCACAAAUUCUGUGCCAGAAUCUCACAAAUCACAAAGAACUUAUGUAACCAAACACCACCUGUUCCCCAAUAACC
Molecule: long non-coding RNA, 408 nt
Organism: Piliocolobus tephrosceles (Ugandan red Colobus)
Lineage: Eukaryota; Metazoa; Chordata; Mammalia; Primates; Cercopithecidae
Exons: 3
Source: RefSeq, a predicted model, not a curated record